CAGAAGUGUUGAAACUCUGUAGAAUUCAGGGGAAGUCUGGGCUGGGUCAGAGCCUGUGUAUUUAUCCCUCUGGGAGUUUCCAGCUUUGUGUGGGCUCAAUGUCAACAAUUUUUAUCCGAGAAACUCUAGAGCUGGUCAAGGGCCAAAGUUCUCUUUACCCAGCCCAGGUUAUUGGCAAGAAAACUCAAAGCUUACGUUUUUAUGAAAGAAAGAGAUUUGAUUGUCAGGAGAGGAGAAGGCCAACGUUUGUCUGAUGCCAGGGCCUCUGCAUGUUUAUUGCCGUUAAUACUUGAAACGUUCAAAGCACAAAGGAAACUGGCCAUUCAGGAGACUCCUGUAAUGAUUUGAAGUUUGAAGACCCUGGUCUGUGUUUGCUUGUCUGCCUACUAUGUGUCAGACACGGAGACUAUGAAAUUCAACGGAGAAGUGAUAGAAUUGAUUUAAAAAUGCAAUGAAUGCAUAGUCAUAAACCAUGGAUGGAGGCAGCAUCCACCAAAGUCAGCUCCUCCCACUGGCAAGAAACUCAGCAGAACCUGCACAUGCCCUUUGAAGAAGAAACCUUGAUCAGUCCCCCAGGUGUGAGUUCAUUUCAGUUCAGUCACUCAGUUGUGUCUGACUCUGCGACCCCAAGAAUCUCAGCACGCCAGGCCUCCCUGUCCAUCACCAACUCCCGGAGUUACUCAGACUCACAUCCAUCGAGUCAGUGA
Molecule: long non-coding RNA, 707 nt
Organism: Bos indicus x Bos taurus (hybrid cattle)
Lineage: Eukaryota; Metazoa; Chordata; Mammalia; Artiodactyla; Bovidae
Source: Ensembl